This 4120-nucleotide long non-coding RNA is filed under the name Homo sapiens (human). RNAcentral's name for it is "non-protein coding lnc-HTR2C-4:2". The record is from RNAcentral. Lineage: Eukaryota; Metazoa; Chordata; Mammalia; Primates; Hominidae.
AAUUGUUUCAAAAGAAAAGUGUAUAACAUUUGUUACUAGAUUUUAGCCCUGAUUUUUGUUUUCCAGUGCAGAGUGAACCAUGAAUUAUUUCUUGGCUACAAUAAUCCUCUAAAGGAUGCUAGAUUAUAAUUCUUAUUCAUGGUUUUAGCUGAUGCCCUCAUGGAAUAGAUUCAUUUUUCUGUUCUGACACACAAGUACUCUUUGUCAAAUUAUUAAUGUUUUUUAUUUCUCCUUGUUUUAUUUCCAGGGAAACCAAAUCAUGGUAUUCUGAAGACCAGAGAUGAUAAUCUCCCUCAUUUGGCUUCCCACUGGGUCCGAUCUGUUAUUCACUACAAAUGCCCAGCUGCUAAGACUACACAAGCACACUCCCUGUAGGCCCAGGAACUAUUGCAGAAGAAAUGGGUGUAUGAGAUUUUAAGGGCUGGUUUUUGAGGGAUAUAAUUAAGUCAAGGUCACAACCUCCAAAUGAAGUUUGGGUACAAAGAUGCCUAAACAGCUGGUAAAACAAUGGCCUUUGCUUCUUGAGCUAUUAUGGGGCACCUUUGCAUCCACCCCAGCUAUUAAGAAUUUCCUUCUCCUGGGCCAGGCACGGUGGCUCAUGCCUGUAAUCCUAGCACUUUGGAAGGCUGAGGCAGGUGGAUCACGAGGUCAGGAGAUCGAGACCAUCCUGGCUAACACGGUGAAACCCCGUCUCUACUAAACAUACAAAAAAUUAGCCGGGCAUGGUGGUGCACACCUGUAGUCCCAGCUACACUGGAGGCUGAGGCAGAAUUGCUUGAACCUGGGAGGUGGAGGUUGCAGUGAGCCGAGAUGGCACCACUGCACUCCAGCCUGGGCAACAGACUGAGACUCCAUAUUAAAAAAAAAAAAAAGAAAAGAAUUUCCUUCUCCUGUAGAAUGAAAAGAAAAUAAUUUUUGAUAGGAUAAACAUACGCCGUGACAAAGCCUCCUGGGUAUAAGACUCCCAGCUAUGAACUGUACAGAUAGAUAUAUAUUUCUUUAAAAAAAUGUUUUCCAAACAAUGCUUGUGUUUUAUAGAGCUAAUUGCUAUAAGUCUGUAACUGAAACCAAGAUUACAGUAACUCAACAAAUAGAAGUUUAAAAUAAGCCAGCUUUGGGCCAGGCACAGUGGCUCAUGCCUGUAAUCCCAACACUUUGGGAGGCCGAGGUGGGUGAAUCACUUGAGGCCAGGAGUCCAAGACCAGGCUGGACAACAUGGUGAAAUCCCGUUUCUACUAAAAAUACAAAAAUUAGCCAGCUAAUAUAAUUUACUUUUUUUUUUUCUGAGACAGAGCCUCACUCUGUUGUCCAGGCUGGAGUGCAGUGGUGCGAUCUUGGCUCAUUGCAACCUCUUUCUCCUGGGUUCAAGCUACCUGGGAGACUGAGGCAGGAGAAUCACUUGAACCCAGGAGGCAGAGGUUGCAAUGAACUGAGAUUGCACCACUGCACUCCAGCCUGGGCAACAGAGUGAGACUCUGUCUCAAAAAAAAAAAAAAAAAAGUAAAUUUUGUAACCUCUCCUUUGGCUUUUUGUUUGUUGGCUUUCUACUUUAAAAAAUAAUAAUAAUUUUAAGGGGUAAUAAAUGCCUGUCCACGUCCAUUUCUAUCUCACCUAGAACAAUUAGUUGGAUGUAAGUCUUGUUGACCCUAAGUCCCUUGGCCACUUAGCCAAAGGGAGGGACAGAAUGGACCCAGGGCAGGCAACCAUGGCAUCCCGGCAAUGCUUACGGGACAAAAGCGAGGACUAAGCUAUGAUGUUUUUAUCUUGCCCAAAUUCCUAUCUAAGGGGUCUGGGGAGUCAUGCCGUACAAACUAUAAAUUCUCAUCAGAUGGUUUUUAUUUAACCCUAUAUAUUGUGACAUACUUUCCAACCUGACUCUGCCAUAACACUACGAGACAAGGAAGAAAAUAAAAAUAUUUUACCCCAAAACAUAUUUCUUUGCCAUAUCUUGAAAUGGCCCUGUAAAGCUGUUUUUUUUUUUUUUUUUUUGGUGGGGGGAAAUUUGCAUCUGUAAAGAAUCUCUAUUAACAUAGCUAGAUCUUUUUAUUCCAGGCCCUCCCAAUCCUAAAAAAAUUAACUAAAGUUCUAGCGCCUUUUAAACAUCUGAAUAGGAAACAUUUGUCAUCUAUUGUCUCUAAGGGAAGCCACUAUAAGACUUCAAAAGAACCUUGAUCUCCACAAUCUUUUUUUUUUUUUUUUUUUUUUUUUUUUUUGAGAUAGCGUGUCGCCCUGUUACGCAGCCUGGAGUGCAGUGGCACGAUCUCAGCUCACCGCAACCUCUGCCUCCCGGUUCAAGCAAUUUUCCUGCCUCAGCCUCCCCAGUAGCUGGGAUUACAAGCGUCUGCCACCACGCUCAGCUAAUUUUUUAUAUUUUUAGUAGAGACGGGGGUUUCACCAUGUUGUCCAAGCUGAUCUCGAACUCCUGACCUCAGGUGAUCCACCUGCCUCGGCCUCCCAAAGUGCUGAGAUUACAGGCGUAAACCACUGAGCCCAGCUGGUCUCCACAAUCUUUUAUCUUAACCUGUACAUUUCUUUCUAUCUAUCCCAGGUCUUUAGACAAACUCAACCAGUUGUCAACCAGAAAAUGUUUAAAUUUACCUACAGCACUUUGAGUUGUCCCGCCUUUUGGACCAAACCAAUGUAUUUCUUAAAUGUAUUUGAUUGACCUCUCAUGCUAAAACCAAGUUGCACCCCGACCACCUUGGGCACUUGUUCUCAGGACCUCCUGAGGGCUAUGUCAUGGGCCACGAUCACUCAUAUCUGGCUCAAAAUAAAUCUCUUCAAAUGUUUUACAGAGUUUGACUCUUUUCAUUGACAAAAGUACAAUUUUGUGGCCAUUGAUGUUGCCUCUGAAAAAUCUUGGCCAGAAAGGGGAGAAUGUAAACGAAAAAUAAAAUUUAAAAGUCCUCCAGCAACCCAACUGAAUGGACUCCCUCCUUGGCCAGGGCACCCUAAAAUGUAACCUGAAAGACUGGUUGAGGCUGUGAUGGGAAGUGGGGGUUGGACAUGCCUCAUUAUACCCCUCCAGUAUUAACAUCGACACAAACCUUAAGUCUGUUAAUAAACAUUUACAGUCUGUUCUCUCUAAUGCCUGCUACUUGGAGGCUUCAUCCGUAUGAUAAAACUCAGGACUCCACAACCCCUAUCGUAACCCUGACAUUCCUUUCUGUAGAUAAUAACUCUUUCAACCAAUUGCCAAUCAUUUAUUUAUUUAUGUAUUUUUUGAGACGGAGUUUUGAUCAGGCUGGUCUCAAACUCUUGACCUCAGGUGAUCCACUCACCUCAGCCUCCCAAAUUGCUGGGAUUACAGGUGUGAGCCACCGCACCAGGCCCAGGGUAUGUUUAAAUCUACCUAUGACCUGGAAGCACCCACAACCCUGCUUCGAAUUAUCCUGCCCUGCCAGAUAAAAUCAAUGUAAAUCUUACCUGUAUGGGUAGAUGCAUUGUAGCAGGACGAGCCACAGACACCGAGUUGAGGAAGGAGAGGGCUUUAUUUGGCCAGGCGCGUCGGCAGAGUUACGUCUCAAAAAACUGAGCUCCCAAGUAAGCAAUCCCUGUCCCUUUUAAGGGCUUACAACUCUAAGAGUGUCCGCGUGAGAGGGUCGUGAAUGAUUGAGCAAGCAGUGGGUACAUGACUGGGGGCUGCAUGCACUGGUAAUCAGAACGGAACAGAACAGGACGGAUUUUCACGAUGCUUUUCCAUACAAUGUCUGGAAUCUAUAGAUAACACAAGCAGUUAAGUCAGGGGUUGAUUUUUAACUACCAGCCCCAGGGUGCGGCUCCGGGCUGUCUGCCUGUGGAUUUCACUUCCGCCUUUUAGUUUUUACUUCUUUUUUCUUUGGAGGCAGAAAUUGGGCAUAAGACAAUAUGAGGGGUGGUCUCCUCCCUUAGCAUUAUGUCUCCCUAAAAUGUAUAAAAGCAAGCUGUACCCCAACCACCUUGGGCCCAUGUCAUCAGAAUUUCCUGAAGCUGUGUCACAUGCACGUCCUUAACCUUGACAAAAUAAACUUUUUAACUUGAUUGAGACUUGUCUCAGAUCUCAAGCUCCUUGUCUCAAGAAAUUCUCCCCGCUCAGCCUCUCAAAAUGUUGGGGUUACAGGCUUGAACCGCUGCACCUGGC